This 448-nucleotide ribosomal RNA is filed under the name uncultured bacterium. RNAcentral describes it as "SSU rRNA". It matches the Rfam family "Bacterial small subunit ribosomal RNA", at positions 26 to 518 of the family's 1533-position model. The record is from RNAcentral.
AGAACGAACGCUGGCGGCAGGCCUCAAACAUGCAAGUCUAGGGGAUGUAGCAAUACAUCACCGGCGGACGGGUGCGUAACACGUGGGAAUAUACCUUUCGGUACGGAACAACUGCGGGAAACUGCAGCUAAUACCGUAUACGUCCUUACGGAGAAAGAUUUAUCGCCGAAGGAUUAGCCCGCGUUCGAUUAGCUAGUUGGUGAGGUAAUGGCUCACCAAGGCGACGAUCGAUAGCUGUUCUGAGAGGAAGAUCAGCCACACUGGGACUGAGACACGGCCCAGACUCCUACGGGAGGCAGCAGUUGGGAAUCUUGGACAAUGGGGGAAACCCUGAUCCAGCCAUGCCGCGUGAGUGAUGAAGGCCUUCGGGUUGUAAAGCUCGUUUUACCCGGGAAGAUAAUGACUGUACCGGAGAAUAAGCUCCGGCUAACUUCGCGCCAGCAGCCGC